Molecule: ribosomal RNA, 499 nt
Filed under: uncultured bacterium
Lineage: Bacteria
Description: bacterial SSU rRNA
Rfam family: Bacterial small subunit ribosomal RNA
Source: RNAcentral
UACGGAAGGCAGCAGUGGGGAAUAUUGCACAAUGGGCGCAAGCCUGAUGCAGCCAUGCCGCGUGUAUGAAGAAGGCCUUCGGGUUGUAAAGUACUUUCAGUCGUGAGGAAGGUGUUAAGGUUAAUAACCUUAGCAAUUGACGUUAGCGACAGAAGAAGCACCGGCUAACUCCGUGCCAGCAGCCGCGGUAAUACGGAGGGUGCGAGCGUUAAUCGGAAUUACUGGGCGUAAAGGGCACGCAGGCGGUUAAUUAAGUUGGAUGUGAAAAUCCCCGGGCUUAAACCUGGGAAAUGGCAUUCAAGACUGGUUAGCUAGAGUCUUGUAGAGGGGGUAGAAGUUCCAUGUGUAGCGGUGAAAAUGCGUAGAGAUGUGGAAGGAAAUACCGGUGGCGAAAGGCGGCCCCUGGACAAAAGGACUGACGCUCAUGUGCGAAAGCGUGGGGACGCGAAAACAGGGAUUUUAAGGAUACCCGUACUUCGGAAGAACCUGGGUACCCAAA